UUGUUUACAUAUAUGAUGUGAUG
RNAcentral lists this small nuclear RNA (23 nucleotides) under Arabidopsis thaliana (thale cress). RNAcentral describes it as "snRNA_01482". The record is from RNAcentral. Lineage: Eukaryota; Viridiplantae; Streptophyta; Magnoliopsida; Brassicales; Brassicaceae.